This is a non-coding RNA of Pelobates cultripes (western spadefoot toad), 352 nucleotides long. The record is from the annotation of a GenBank genome assembly. Lineage: Eukaryota; Metazoa; Chordata; Amphibia; Anura; Pelobatidae.
UUUAAAAGUAGAGAAAUAUGCUGAUUUCUUUUUAUUUAUUUGUAUAAUUUCAAAAACAUAUAGAAACAAUAAAAUGCAAGUUGUGCAGUUUGUUUGCACUUUUGAUCAUCUGUGCAUCAUGAAGCUCCCUUUCCAAUGCCUUUUGAUUAGACUUGGAGUUUGUUGGGUUAUGUUGCAAUACCUCUACUAAAAAUGUUAAUAAAUAGACAUAAUUCACUGUUUUCUUGUCAAUCUCUAAAAAAGUAUGCAACUAUCAAUCAAGCGACCUUUACUCACCUGUCAAAAGAAAAUCAUUAAAAAUGUAAAAUUUCAAAUAUCUCCCAACGUGUAAGGAACAUAAACAUACCCCCUU